RNAcentral lists this ribosomal RNA (155 nucleotides) under Volvocales sp. TN-2017-2. Its description in RNAcentral is "5.8S rRNA". It matches the Rfam family "5.8S ribosomal RNA". Rfam says of the family: 5.8S ribosomal RNA (5.8S rRNA) is a component of the large subunit of the eukaryotic ribosome. It is transcribed by RNA polymerase I as part of the 45S precursor that also contains 18S and 28S rRNA. Lineage: Eukaryota; Viridiplantae; Chlorophyta; Chlorophyceae; Chlamydomonadales. The record is from RNAcentral.
CAACUCUCAACAACGGAUAUCUUGGCUCUCGCAACGAUGAAGAACGCAGCGAAAUGCGAUACGUAGUGUGAAUUGCAGAAUUCCGUGAAUCAUCAAAUCUUUGAACGCAUAUUGCACUCGAGGCUUCGGCCGAGAGUAUGUCUGCCUCAGCAUCG